GGGAAAAUGUGGGUGUGGU
This 19-nucleotide microRNA is filed under the name Lotus japonicus. RNAcentral's name for it is "lja-miR7535". The record is from miRBase by way of RNAcentral. Lineage: Eukaryota; Viridiplantae; Streptophyta; Magnoliopsida; Fabales; Fabaceae.